CCUACGGGUGGCAGCAGUGGGGAAUAUUGGACAAUGGGCGAAAGCCUGAUCCAGCCAUGCCGCGUGUGUGAAGAAGGCCUUCGGGUUGUAAAGCACUUUCAGUGGGGAAGAAAGCCUUGGGGCUAAUACCCUCGAGGAAGGACAUCACCCACAGAAGAAGCACCGGCUAACUCCGUGCCAGCAGCCGCGGUAAUACGGAGGGUGCGAGCGUUAAUCGGAAUUACUGGGCGUAAAGCGCGCGUAGGCGGUCUGAUAAGCCGGUUGUGAAAGCCCCGGGCUCAACCUGGGAACGGCAUCCGGAACUGUCAGGCUAGAGUGCAGCAGAGGAAGGUAGAAUUCCAGGUGUAGCGGUGAAAUGCGUAGAGAUCGGGAGGAAUACCGGUGGCGAAGGCAGCCUUCUGGACUGACACUGACGCUGAGGUGCGAAAGCGUGGGUAGCAAACAGGAUUACAUACCCCAGUAGUC
RNAcentral lists this ribosomal RNA (465 nucleotides) under Vreelandella stevensii. RNAcentral's name for it is "partial 16S ribosomal RNA". It matches the Rfam family "Bacterial small subunit ribosomal RNA", at positions 338 to 795 of the family's 1533-position model. Lineage: Bacteria; Pseudomonadati; Pseudomonadota; Gammaproteobacteria; Oceanospirillales; Halomonadaceae. The record is from RNAcentral.